UGGCUGACGGUGUUGUUUCAGGUCGCACCAAAGCUGGACUUCUGAGAGAAUAACAAGAAAAACAAACAAGGCCAUGGUCCAAGGAGGCAAGAAUGCAUUGAUGAGGUGAACCAGCAUCUCCGAUGGUGGUGCCACCAAGAAGGCUUCGGCUUCUACGACCAUGGAGCCCACUUCAAGGACAGAGGACUCCUGGGGAGAGACAGCAUCCACCUCACAUAGAAAGGGAUAAGAUAUCACAUUCAACCCUAGUGUGGCUUCAGAGACUUCGGUGGAUCCAAGCAAUUGGCUGGCCCUUGUGGGAAGAGGAUUAGAAGUGAAAACUACUCGGAGAAAAUAAGCACCUGUUUUAAAAGACCAACUAGAGAAGAACAGGACACAUCUUUCCAACCAAGACAAGAACAUCCUGUUAAGAAAUGCAGCCGCGUGCCUGCAGUGGCUCAGGCUAGAAGAUACAGCAAGCCCUCCCUUCCCUUCAGCAGUGGCUGGUGUCAGGAGGUGAUGUGACUCCACCAGACUGUUGUUUGGGACAUUAAGUGACAUGACUACCAGUGAGUGACAUUCGGUGAUGCAGUGGCGGAGGAAUGUGACCUUAAUAUGCACUAUCAUGCGGACAGUGUGUGAUCAAUAGUAGCCUAACCAAUCAGAAGUUGCCCCUAGAGCGUGACUGGCCGGACCAGCAUGCUGAGGCCUCCAGAAUGUUCCAUCAAGGGGGGACCCUGAUUGGCUAGGGAGUCUACAAAGGGGACUGUGCGCCUCAGCAUAGGGUCCCCAGACGCUCCUGAACUCAGGAAGACAGUCUGAUCACCUGUCUUGUCUGGACAGACCCCUAGGCUAGCUAGAUUCCUAGCAUAGGCUACCACAGCUUAUAGCUAGACCACGCGCUAUCCGGAACGCCCUGUGUGUUGCCCAACUAGGCAUCAUACUUGUACUGAUAGUAUUUUCAGCUGCAGUCGACCUUCACAAUUACACCUUGCUUGUUACUCGCCGCUACCCAUCAUCUGUUUGUUCUCUGCACCACGUCGUCUGUGUCCACCUGCUACUGUAAAUAGUCUUUGUAAUUAGUUCCUGUAUUCAUGAAGUUGAUUCAACUCGUUAAUCAUCUUGUUGGUUUGUAAGUAGACUUAUGAAUUUUCUUCACCUACUAGUUGUCGCGCUUUUUUCCUCUCUCACACUUGGAAUCCCCGAGCGUGUCUGGG
Alligator mississippiensis (American alligator) is the source of this 1196-nucleotide long non-coding RNA. RefSeq lists it as uncharacterized. The record is from RefSeq and is a predicted model, not a curated record. The transcript is spliced from 4 exons. Lineage: Eukaryota; Metazoa; Chordata; Crocodylia; Alligatoridae.